UCUUUGCUAGUAUAUCGGUUUAGUACACGCGCCUGUCAUCGUAAUCACUGAUACUGAACGCGCGAAAGCUGGGUUCGACUCCCAGGCAAAGAG
Termitomyces sp. T32_za158 is the source of this 93-nucleotide non-coding RNA. NCBI's taxonomy places the organism in Eukaryota, Fungi, Basidiomycota, Agaricomycetes, Agaricales, Lyophyllaceae. The record is from the annotation of a GenBank genome assembly.